This 497-nucleotide ribosomal RNA is filed under the name uncultured bacterium. RNAcentral describes it as "partial 16S ribosomal RNA". It matches the Rfam family "Bacterial small subunit ribosomal RNA", at positions 28 to 507 of the family's 1533-position model. The record is from RNAcentral.
GAUGGACGCUGGCGGCGUGCCUAAUACAUGCAAGUCGAGCGAACAGACGAGGAGCUUGCUCCUCUGACGUUAGCGGCGGACGGGUGAGUAACACGUGGAUAACCUACCUAUAAUACUGGGAUAACUUCGGGAAACCGGAGCUAAUACCGGAUAAUAUAUUGAACCGCAUGGUUCAAUAGUGAAAGACGGUUUUGCUGUCACUUAUAGAUGGAUCCGCGCCGCAUUAGCUAGUUGGUAAGGUAACGGCUUACCAAGGCAACGAUGCGUAGCCGACCUGAGAGGGUGAUCGGCCACACUGGAACUGAGACACGGUCCAGACUCCUACGGGAGGCAGCAGUAGGGAAUAUUCCACAAUGGGCGAAAGCCUGACGGAGCAACGCCGCGUGAGUGAUGAAGGUCUUCGGAUCGUAAAACUCUGUUAUUAGGGAAGAACAAAUGUGUAAGUAAAUAUGCACGUCUUGACGGUACCUAAUCAGAAAGCCACGGCUAACUACGUG